This is a long non-coding RNA of Arabidopsis lyrata subsp. lyrata, 462 nucleotides long. RefSeq lists it as uncharacterized. The record is from RefSeq and is a predicted model, not a curated record. The transcript has 2 exons. NCBI's taxonomy places the organism in Eukaryota, Viridiplantae, Streptophyta, Magnoliopsida, Brassicales, Brassicaceae.
CAACCAAUAUGUAUGGAUUAAGAUCUCCAUUUUGAAUUCUUUUGAAACUGGCUAGUGACAGGUAACUUGAGUCAGAGACAGGAUCACAUGGAAAGACAUGAGUUCCAUUUGUGAAAGUCAUCUUAUAUAGAUGAGAGGUUGGACGAAAUUGGCCACUGGCAUAAUUGAGAGCAAAGAUCUCAAUGAACACCCAAUGACCAACAGAUUUACCUCAAUGUCAGAUAACACCAACUCUAGAGUUUCACCAGUGUUGGAUGUGUACUGACGCCAGGAGUGAAGUACCUUCACUUGGACUCUCCACUGUGUGGUGUAUGGCCUGACAUCUUUGAGGUAAGCAAAUGUUGCAGCAGCCAUUAUAUGCUCGAUUAUGUUUAGAGAAAAUAAUAUGAUUAGAGGGGGUGAGUGCUGAUGAUGAUGAGAGGGUUUGAUAUGGAACUAUAUAUAGGGUGAUAGAAUAGGUUA